Molecule: transfer RNA, 71 nt
Filed under: Crassvirales sp.
Lineage: Duplodnaviria; Heunggongvirae; Uroviricota; Caudoviricetes; Crassvirales
Description: tRNA-Gln
Rfam family: tRNA
About the family: Transfer RNA (tRNA) molecules are approximately 80 nucleotides in length.
Source: RNAcentral
AGUCUUAUGGUGUAAUGGUAACACGUCAGAUUUUGGUUCUGAAAUUUUAGGUUCGAAUCCUAAUAAGACUA